GACGAACGCUGGCGGCGUGCUUAACACAUGCAAGUCGAACGGAAAGGCCCCUUUGGGGGUACUCGAGUGGCGGACGGGUGAGUAACACGUGAGUAACCUGCCCUUGACUUCGGGAUAACUUCAGGAAACUGGGGCUAAUACCGGAUAGGAAUCCUUGCUGCAUGGUGGGGGUUGGAAAGCUUCGGCGGUUUUGGGUGGACUCGCGGCUUAUCAGCUUGUUGGUGGGGUAGUGGCUUACCAAGGCUUUGACGGGUAGCCGGCCUGAGAGGGCGACCGGCCACACUGGGACUUAGAUGCGGCCCAGAUUCCUACGGUUGGCAGCAGUGGGGAAGAUUGCACAAUGGGCGGAAGCCUGAUGCAGCAACGCCGCGUGCGGGAUGACGGCCUUCGGGUUGUAAACCGCUUUCAGCAGGGGAGAAGCUUGUGGUGACGGUACCUGCAGAAGAAGCACCGGCUAACUACGUG
Molecule: ribosomal RNA, 465 nt
Filed under: uncultured bacterium
Lineage: Bacteria
Description: partial 16S ribosomal RNA
Rfam family: Bacterial small subunit ribosomal RNA
Source: RNAcentral